GAUGAACGCUAGCGGCAGGCCUAAUACAUGCAAGUCGAGGGGUAUGGGUUGCUUGCAACCCAGAGACCGGCGCACGGGUGCGUAACGCGUAUGCAAUCUACCUUAAUCAGGGGGAUAGCCCGGAGAAAUCCGGAUUAACACCGCAUAACAUUGAGUUGUGGCAUCACAGUUCAAUCAAAUAUUUAUAGGAUUAAGAUGAGCAUGCGUGACAUUAGUUAGUUGGUGAGGUAACGGCUCACCAAGACCACGAUGUCUAGGGGAUCUGAGAGGAUGACCCCCCACACUGAUACUGAGACACGGACCAGACUCCUACGGGAGGCAGCAGUAAGGAAUAUUGGUCAAUGGGCGCAAGCCUGAACCAGCCAUGCCGCGUGCAGGAAGACGGCCCUAUGGGUUGUAAACUGCUUUUGUACCGGAAUAAACCUUCUCUUGCGAGAGAAGCUGAACGUACGGUAAGAAUAAGGAUCGGCUAACUCCGUG
RNAcentral lists this ribosomal RNA (480 nucleotides) under uncultured bacterium. RNAcentral describes it as "partial 16S ribosomal RNA". It matches the Rfam family "Bacterial small subunit ribosomal RNA", at positions 28 to 507 of the family's 1533-position model. The record is from RNAcentral.